AUCCCUCGCUGCUAAGCUAUCGCCGCUGCCAACCUAUCUAUUGCUGCAAGCUAUCCCUCGCUGCUAAGCUAUCGCUGCCAACCUAUCUACCGCGGUGAAUCUAUCUAUCGCUGCCAAUUUAUCUACCACUGCCAAUCUAUCUAUCGCUGCCAAUCUAUUGCUGCUAAUCUAUCACUGCUGCCAAUCUAUCUAUCGCUGCUAAUCUAUCGCUGCUAAUCUAUCGCUGCCAACCUAUCUAUCGCUGCCAAUUUAUCUACCACUGCCAAUCUAUCUAUCGCUGCUAAUCUAUCGCUGCCAACCUAUCUACCGCGGCGAAUCUAUCCAUUGCUGUCAAUUUAUCUACCACUGUCAAUCUAUCUAUUGCUGCUAAUCUAUCGCUGCUAAUCUAUCGCUGCUAAUCUAUUGCUGCUAAUCUAUUGCUGCUGCCAAUCUAUCUAUCACUGCUAAUCUAUCGCUGCUAAUCUAUCGCUGCCAACCUAUCUACCGCGGCGAAUCUAUCUAUCGCUGCCAAUUUAUCUACCACUGCCAAUCUAUCUAUCGCUGCCAAUCUAUUGCUGCUAAUCUAUCGCUGCUAAUCUAUCGCUGCUGCCAAUCUAUCUAUCGCUGCUAAUCUAUCGCUGCUAAUCUAUCACUGCUAAUCUAUCGCUGCCAACCUAUCUAUCGCUGCCAAUUUAUCUACCACUGCCAAUCUAUCUAUUGCUGCUAAUCUAUUGCUGCUGCCAAUCUAUCUAUCGCUGCUAAUCUAUUGCUGCUGCUAAUCUAUCUAUCGCUGCUAAUCUAUCGCUGCUAAUCUAUCGCUGCUAAUCUAUCGCUGCUAAUCUAUCGCUGCUAAUCUAUCGCUGCCAACCUAUCUACCGCGGCGAAUCUAUCUAUCACUAUCAUUACUAGUUCAAAAUAGAACUAGAGCAUAAACACACUAAACUUCUUUUGAUAGGUAAUGAUUUUUGGUAACACUCAUAGCAUUAUAUCAUCUAUAUAGGAUAAAUCAUGGUCCCAUUUGGUCCCAUUUUAACAAAAUGGGAUCAAAUGAGACCAGAAUCAGUAAUUUAUAAGAAGAACAUGAUCUGAGACUAGAUUUAUAAUAUAAACAGUGUAAAGUGACUAAUUUAAUAAACACUAUAUGGGACC
Molecule: small RNA, 1128 nt
Filed under: Histoplasma ohiense
Lineage: Eukaryota; Fungi; Ascomycota; Eurotiomycetes; Onygenales; Ajellomycetaceae
Description: hypothetical lncRNA
Source: RNAcentral